Molecule: non-coding RNA, 275 nt
Organism: Pelobates cultripes (western spadefoot toad)
Lineage: Eukaryota; Metazoa; Chordata; Amphibia; Anura; Pelobatidae
Source: the annotation of a GenBank genome assembly
UAUAGGUAUAAAUAUAUUGUGUACUGUUAGAAGGGGCAAAUUUAUUUUGAUGUGUGGGGAAGAGGGUAUCCUAGUCUAGUGUGUAGAGCUGCCAUUUUUUUUUUUUUUUUUAUAUAAUUCUUUAUUUUGGUAGUGGUUCACAGCAAACAUGGUAUGUAUCAAGCCACAAUAUGUUAAUCCCCUUAAGGAUGGUGGACGUUCUAUGCCAUCCUUGGGGACCCGGCUCCAAACGCCGGCUGGUGGCAUAGAACGCCCAAGUCGUCCUAUGUACUUAC